RNAcentral lists this ribosomal RNA (250 nucleotides) under uncultured bacterium. RNAcentral describes it as "partial 16S ribosomal RNA". It matches the Rfam family "Bacterial small subunit ribosomal RNA", at positions 524 to 773 of the family's 1533-position model. The record is from RNAcentral.
UACGUAGGGGCCGAGCGUUGUCCGGAGUUACUGGGCGUAAAGCGCGCGCAGGCGGCUCGUCAAGCCUGACGUGAAAGCCCCCCGGCUCAACCGGGGAGGGUCGUCGGGGACUGGCGAGCUUGAGGUCGGCAGGGGCUGGUGGAAUUCCCGGUGUAGUGGUGAAAUGCGUAGAGAUCGGGAGGAACACCCGUGGCGAAGGCGCCAGCUGGGCCGGACCUGACGCUGAGGCGCGAAGGCGUGGGGAGCGAAC